Molecule: long non-coding RNA, 739 nt
Organism: Camponotus floridanus (Florida carpenter ant)
Lineage: Eukaryota; Metazoa; Arthropoda; Insecta; Hymenoptera; Formicidae
Exons: 3
Source: RefSeq, a predicted model, not a curated record
AUGUGUAUGUGUAUAUGUAUUAUUGCAGAGAGAACAUAAUAUUGAGGUUGUGUCUCUGAAGUCUCAGAAAGUCUCUGUAUUUAAUAUUAAUUUAAUUAUUUUAAUAAAGAUUAACAAUAAUGGUUCGAAGAUGUAUUGUUUGUGAUAUAACGUAUUCAUCAAAAAAUAGUGUUUCUUUUUACUCUUUUCCAACAAAUGAAAAAUAUAAAAAAUUAUGGAUGGAUGUGUGCAAUAUAAGUGAAAUCACGAAAGAAAGCAGAGUAUGUUCACGUCACUUCAGUUCAUCUCAUUUGCAAUGGACUAAUAGAUCUCGAAAAAUUUUACAACCAAAUGCAAUUCCAUUAUUAUUUCUUGGAAAAAGAAAAAAGUAUCUAAAAAGAAAGAGAAGUACUAAAAAGUAUGUUUCUCUCUCUAACCUCCUCCGGAUACUGCUUCUCUACAGAAACUAUAGGCAAUUGCCAGUCCAUAUCUGUAAGGUCUAUGUUAAAAACAUGAACAUGAACUACGAGGACAAAUCCACGUCAGAGAGAAGACUGAGAGGUGUUAUGGCCCGCUUUUAGGUGAUCCCUGAAAGCGAUACUCCCUCUGUUAAUUUAAAAAACGUGGACAUGAACUACAAAGCCAAAGUCCACGAAAGUUCUCAGAGGGUAACAUAUAUGUGCACAAUUUCUGAUUAUGUUCCGUGCUAUGUAAAAAAUGCCUGUAGUACACGAAAUGCCAUCAGUGCUGUAUAGCAAAA